UUCAAUGAGAAGGGGAGCUGGGCGGCAGCCCGGCUGAGAGGACGUUAAGCGUCGACCCUUUGAACCUGAACCAGGUAAUACUGGCGGAGGGAAUCAAAAAUGAGUGAUCU
RNAcentral lists this non-coding RNA (110 nucleotides) under Thaumarchaeota archaeon SCGC AB-539-E09. Its description in RNAcentral is "TPP riboswitch aptamer (THI element)". It matches the Rfam family "TPP riboswitch aptamer (THI element)". Rfam says of the family: Vitamin B(1) in its active form thiamin pyrophosphate (TPP) is an essential coenzyme that is synthesised by coupling of pyrimidine and thiazole moieties in bacteria. The previously detected thiamin-regulatory element, thi box was extended, resulting in a new, highly conserved RNA secondary structure, the THI element, which is widely distributed in eubacteria and also occurs in some archaea. Lineage: Archaea; Thermoproteati; Nitrososphaerota. The record is from Rfam by way of RNAcentral. RNAcentral also lists the same sequence under 1 other name.